GCUGGCGGCGUGCUUACACAUGCAAGUCGAACGAUGAUGGCCGUGCUUGCACGGCUGGAUUAGUGGCGAACGGGUGAGUAACACGUGAGUAACCUGCCCUCCACUUCGGGAUAACCUCGGGAAAUCGGGGCUAAUACCGGAUAUGAGCACCUACUGCAUGGUGGGUGUUGGAAAGUUUUUCGGUGGGGGAUGGACUCGCGGCCUAUCAGCUUGUUGGUGAGGUAGUGGCUCACCAAGGCGUUGACGGGUAGCCGGCCUGAGAGGGCGACCGGCCACACUGGGACUGAGACACGGCCCAGACUCCUACGGGAGGCAGCAGUGGGGAAUAUUGCACAAUGGGCGAAAGCCUGAUGCAGCGACGCCGCGUGAGGGAUGACGGCCUUCGGGUUGUAAACCUCUUUCAGCAGGGAAGAAGCGAGAGUGACGGUACCUGCAGAAGAAGCGCCGGCUAACUACGUGCCAGCAGCCGCGGUAAUACGUAGGGCGCAAGCGUUGUCCGGAAUUAUUGGGCGUAAAGAGCUUGUAGGUGGCUUGUCGCGUCUGCCGUGAAAACCCGAGGCUCAACCUCGGGCGUGCGGUGGGUACGGGCAGGCUAGAGUGUGGUAGGGGAGACUGGAACUCCUGGUGUAGCGGUGAAAUGCGCAGAUAUCAGGAAGAACACCGAUGGCGAAGGCAGGUCUCUGGGCCAUUACUGACACUGAGAAGCGAAAGCAUGGGGAGCGAACAGGAUUAGAUACCCUGGUAGUCCAUGCCGUAAACGUUGGGCACUAGGUGUGGGGGACAUUCCACGUUUUCCGCGCCGUAGCUAACGCAUUAAGUGCCCCGCCUGGGGGAGUACGGCCGCAAGGCUAAAACUCAAAGGAAUUGACGGGGGCCCGCACAAGCGGCGGAGCAUGCGGAUUAAUUCGAUGCAACGCGAAGAACCUUACCAAGGCUUGACAUGCACCGGACAGCUGCAGAAAUGUGCCUUCUUUGGACUGGUGCACAGUGGUGCAUGGUU
RNAcentral lists this ribosomal RNA (1000 nucleotides) under Brachybacterium sp. RNAcentral describes it as "bacterial SSU rRNA". It matches the Rfam family "Bacterial small subunit ribosomal RNA", at positions 35 to 1050 of the family's 1533-position model. Lineage: Bacteria; Bacillati; Actinomycetota; Actinomycetes; Micrococcales; Dermabacteraceae. The record is from RNAcentral.